AUAGGUUAACGAGGCGAACCGGGGGAACUGAAACAUCUAAGUACCCCGAGGAAAAGAAAUCAACCGAGAUUCCCCCAGUAGCGGCGAGCGAACGGGGAGCAGCCCAGAGUCUGAAUCAGCUUGUGUGUUAGUGGAACGGUCUGGAAAGUCCGACGGUACAGGGUGAUAGUCCCGUACACCAAAAUGCACAGGCUGUGAACUCGAAGAGUAGGGCGGGACACGUGGUAUCCUGUCUGAAUAUGGGGGGACCAUCCUCCAAGGCUAAAUACUCCUGACUGACCGAUAGUGAACCAGUACCGUGAGGGAAAGGCGAAAAGAACCCCGGCGAGGGGAGUGAAAAAGAACCUGAAACCGUGUACGUACAAGCAGUGGGAGCACCUUCGGGUGUGACUGCGUACCUUUUGUAUAAUGGGUCAGCGACUUAUAUUCUGUAGCAAGGUUAACCGUAUAGGGGAGCCGCAGGGAAACCGAGUCUUAACUGGGCGUUAAGUUGCAGGGUAUAGACCCGAAACCCGGUGAUCUAGCCAUGGGCAGGUUGAAGGUUGGGUAACACUAACUGGAGGACCGAACCGACUAAUGUUGAAAAAUUAGCGGAUGACUUGUGGCUGGGGGUGAAAGGCCAAUCAAACCGGGAGAUAGCUGGUUCUCCCCGAAAGCUAUUUAGGUAGCGCCUCGUGAACUCAUCUUCGGGGGUAGAGCACUGUUUCGGCUAGGGGGUCAUCCCGACUUACCAACCCGAUGCAAACUACGAAUACCGAAGAAUGUUAUCACGGGAGACACACGGCGGGUGCUAACGUCCGUCGUGAAGAGGGAAACAACCCAGACCGCCAGCUAAGGUCCCAAAGUCAUGGUUAAGUGGGAAACGAUGUGGGAAGGCACAGACAGCCAGGAUGUUGGCUUAGAAGCAGCCAUCAUUUAAAGAAAGCGUAAUAGCUCACUGGUCGAGUCGGCCUGCGCGGAAGAUGUAACGGGGCUAAACCAUGCACCGAAGCUGCGGCAGCGACACUAUGUGUUGUUGGGUAGGGGAGCGUUCUGUAAGCCUGCGAAGGUGUGCUGUGAGGCAUGCUGGAGGUAUCAGAAGUGCGAAUGCUGACAUAAGUAACGAUAAAGCGGGUGAAAAGCCCGCUCGCCGGAAGACCAAGGGUUCCUGUCCAACGUUAAUCGGGGCAGGGUGAGUCGACCCCUAAGGCGAGGCCGAAAGGCGUAGUCGAUGGGAAACAGGUUAAUAUUCCUGUACUUGGUGUUACUGCGAAGGGGGGACGGAGAAGGCUAUGUUAGCCGGGCGACGGUUGUCCCGGUUUAAGCAUGUAGGCUGAUUGUCCAGGCAAAUCCGGAUAAUCAAGGCUGAGGUGUGAUGACGAGGCACUACGGUGCUGAAGUAACAAAUGCCCUGCUUCCAGGAAAAGCCUCUAAGCAUCAGGUAACAUCAAAUCGUACCCCAAACCGACACAGGUGGUCAGGUAGAGAAUACCAAGGCGCUUGAGAGAACUCGGGUGAAGGAACUAGGCAAAAUGGUGCCGUAACUUCGGGAGAAGGCACGCUGGUGUGUAGGUGAAGUCCCUGCGGAUGGAGCUGAGACCAGUCGAAGAUACCAGCUGGCUGCAACUGUUUAUUAAAAACACAGCACUGUGCAAACACGAAAGUGGACGUAUACGGUGUGACGCCUGCCCGGUGCCGGAAGGUUAAUUGAUGGGGUUAUCCGUAAGGAGAAGCUCUUGAUCGAAGCCCCGGUAAACGGCGGCCGUAACUAUAACGGUCCUAAGGUAGCGAAAUUCCUUGUCGGGUAAGUUCCGACCUGCACGAAUGGCGUAAUGAUGGCCAGGCUGUCUCCACCCGAGACUCAGUGAAAUUGAACUCGCUGUGAAGAUGCAGUGUACCCGCGGCAAGACGGAAAGACCCCGUGAACCUUUACUAUAGCUUGACACUGAACAUUGAGCCUUGAUGUGUAGGAUAGGUGGGAGGCUUUGAAGCGUGGACGCCAGUCUGCGUGGAGCCAACCUUGAAAUACCACCCUUUAAUGUUUGAUGUUCUAACGUUGGCCCCUGACCGGGGUUGCGGACAGUGUCUGGUGGGUAGUUUGACUGGGGCGGUCUCCUCCCAAAGCGUAACGGAGGAGCACGAAGGUUAGCUAAUCCUGGUCGGACAUCAGGAGGUUAGUGCAAUGGCAUAAGCUAGCUUGACUGCGAGCGUGACGGCGCGAGCAGGUGCGAAAGCAGGUCAUAGUGAUCCGGUGGUUCUGAAUGGAAGGGCCAUCGCUCAACGGAUAAAAGGUACUCCGGGGAUAACAGGCUGAUACCGCCCAAGAGUUCAUAUCGACGGCGGUGUUUGGCACCUCGAUGUCGGCUCAUCACAUCCUGGGGCUGAAGUAGGUCCCAAGGGUAUGGCUGUUCGCCAUUUAAAGUGGUACGCGAGCUGGGUUUAGAACGUCGUGAGACAGUUCGGUCCCUAUCUGCCGUGGGCGCUGGAGAAUUGAGGGGGGCUGCUCCUAGUACGAGAGGACCGGAGUGGACGCAUCACUGGUGUUCGGGUUGUCAUGCCAAUGGCACUGCCCGGUAGCUAAAUGCGGAAGAGAUAAGUGCUGAAAGCAUCUAAGCACGAAACUUGCCCCGAGAUGAGUUCUCCCUGAGACUUUAAGUCUCCUGAAGGAACGUUGAAGACGACGACGUUGAUAGGCCGGGUGUGUAAGCGCAGCGAUGCGUUGAGCUAACCGGUACUAAUGAACCGUGAGGCUUAACCUUACAACGCCGAAG
This 2750-nucleotide ribosomal RNA is filed under the name Klebsiella pneumoniae. RNAcentral's name for it is "bacterial LSU rRNA". It matches the Rfam family "Bacterial large subunit ribosomal RNA". Lineage: Bacteria; Pseudomonadati; Pseudomonadota; Gammaproteobacteria; Enterobacterales; Enterobacteriaceae. The record is from RNAcentral.